This 465-nucleotide ribosomal RNA is filed under the name uncultured bacterium. Its description in RNAcentral is "partial 16S ribosomal RNA". It matches the Rfam family "Bacterial small subunit ribosomal RNA", at positions 28 to 507 of the family's 1533-position model. The record is from RNAcentral.
GACGAACGCUGGCGGCGUGCUUAACACAUGCAAGUCGAACGGAAAGGCCCCUUUGGGGGUACUCUAGUGGCGAACGGGUGAGUAACACGUGAGUAACCUGCCCUUUCCUUCGUUUUAACUUCAGUAACCUGGGGCUAAUACCGGUUAGGAAUCCUUGCUGCAUGGUGGGGGUUGGAAAGCUUCGGCGGUUUUGGAUGGAGUCGCGGCGUAUUAGCUUGUUGGUGGGGUAGUGGCUUACCAAGGCUUUGACGGGUAGCCGGCCUGAGAGUGCGACCGGCCACAUUGGGACUGAGAGACGGCCCAGACGCCUACGGGAGGAAGCAGUGGGGAAGAUUGCACAAUGGGCGGAAGCCUGAUGCAGCAACGCCGCGUGCGGGAUGACGGCCUUCGGGUUGUAAAACGCUUUCAGCAGGGGCGAAGCUUGUGGUGACGGUACCUGCAGAAGAAGCACCGGCUAACUACGUG